CGGAGAGGCGCUUUAGAAACCGAGCAAGAAGGGAAGCGACAACAGUCUAUCAUCCAUGUUCGGUUGGACCACUGCAGAUGCAUAGUGGUACAUAUCAAAUUUAUAGGACUCAAAAUUGAAGGAAGAUUCAAAGAUAAUGAGGGAACCUCACAGAAGUCUCAGAAUAUCCAACACACAUCCAGGUCUGUCUUCCUGCCAAUGCCAAAUUGCAGCUGCAGUGGCCCCAUCAAAGCACAAGCUAAACUGGAGGAGGGACUUCUUGCAGUUUUACCAGCAUCUCUGCAUCAUCUGCAUAGGAAAAGGGCAAAGUUAAGGGGAUGGGUCACCAUGGUUUGUCCAAAGAUGGUAUGUGGUCCAUGUAAACUUUUCCUGCUCAUGCAAUGACAAACCUUUUCCUAGAUAUGCUUUUUCCAUAUGAAGAUUUGGUAGGAGGACUGUACAUUUGUCCAGUUUCAUCAGAUUCAUGGAUGAAAACAAAUCAAAUCCAUAAACUAU
This is a long non-coding RNA of Musa acuminata AAA Group (dessert banana), 495 nucleotides long. RefSeq lists it as uncharacterized. NCBI's taxonomy places the organism in Eukaryota, Viridiplantae, Streptophyta, Magnoliopsida, Zingiberales, Musaceae. The record is from RefSeq and is a predicted model, not a curated record. The transcript is spliced from 3 exons.